GACGAACGCUGGCGGCGUGCUUAACACAUGCAAGUCGAACGGAAAGGCCCUGCUUUUGUGGGGUGCUUGAGUGGCGAACGGGUGAGUAACACGUGAGUAACCUGCCCUUGACUUUGGGAUAACUUCAGGAAACUGGGGCUAAUACCGGAUAGGAGCUCCUGCUGCAUGGUGGGGGUUGGAAAGUUUCGGCGGUUGGGGAUGGACUCGCGGCUUAUCAGCUUGUUGGUGGGGUAGUGACUUACCAAGGCUUUGACGGGUAGCCGGCCUGGGAGGGUGACCGGCCACAUUGGUACUGAGAUACGGCCCAGACUCCUACGGGAGGCAGCAGUGGGGAAUAUUGCACAAUGGGCUGAAGCCUGAUGCAGCAACGCCGCGUGCGGGAUGACGGCCUUCGAGUUGUAAACCGCUGUCGCCUGUGACGAAGCGUGAGUGACGGUAAUGGGUAAAGAAGCACCGGCUAACUACGUG
RNAcentral lists this ribosomal RNA (468 nucleotides) under uncultured bacterium. Its description in RNAcentral is "partial 16S ribosomal RNA". It matches the Rfam family "Bacterial small subunit ribosomal RNA", at positions 28 to 507 of the family's 1533-position model. The record is from RNAcentral.